GCGGUCACAUAAGGUUGAACCAGCGGUUCCCAUACAAUCACCGAAGUUAAGCAACUUUGAGUCUGGUCAGUACCUAGAGGAGUGAUCGCUUGCGAAUACCAA
This is a non-coding RNA of Acanthosepion pharaonis, 102 nucleotides long. Lineage: Eukaryota; Metazoa; Mollusca; Cephalopoda; Sepiida; Sepiidae. The record is from the annotation of a GenBank genome assembly.